UCCGCAGACUAAAUCUGAAAGA
RNAcentral lists this small nuclear RNA (22 nucleotides) under Arabidopsis thaliana (thale cress). RNAcentral describes it as "snRNA_01931". Lineage: Eukaryota; Viridiplantae; Streptophyta; Magnoliopsida; Brassicales; Brassicaceae. The record is from RNAcentral.